CAUUGCUUCGGCAAUAAAUAUACUAAAAUUGGAACGAUUCAGAGAAGAUUAGUAUGGCCCCUGCGCAAGGAUGAUACGCAAAUUUAUGAAGCGUUCCAUAUUUUU
RNAcentral lists this small nuclear RNA (105 nucleotides) under Octopus sinensis (East Asian common octopus). Lineage: Eukaryota; Metazoa; Mollusca; Cephalopoda; Octopoda; Octopodidae. The record is from RNAcentral.